This is a small nucleolar RNA of Jaculus jaculus (lesser Egyptian jerboa), 135 nucleotides long. Its record names the gene SNORA70. It matches the Rfam family "Small nucleolar RNA SNORA70". From Rfam's summary of the family: snoRNA U70 seems to be exclusive to mammals and is a member of the H/ACA class of snoRNA which contain H (ANANNA) and ACA box motifs. H/ACA box snoRNAs are involved in the conversion of uridines to pseudouridines (5-ribosyluracil) a constituent of structural RNAs (transfer, ribosomal, small nuclear, and small nucleolar). The record is from Ensembl. Lineage: Eukaryota; Metazoa; Chordata; Mammalia; Rodentia; Dipodidae.
AUGUCAGCAUCCAGCUGAUUUACUGUGUUCGAUGAGGGACCAGAGUACAAUGGCUGCAAAUAGCAGCUUCCUUGGUAGUGGAUGCAUGUAGUCUGUUGCUUGUACAGGCUACCCUAUGGGGCCUUGGAGACUGUU